AUGAGACCACAGUUACAGUCCAGGGGAAGUGGUGGCCCCUUCAGCAGCAGCUUGAAGAUGCUCACUGGAAGAAAGGAGCCUUCAUGUUCCCAGGAUCAAGGAAUGUCGUCCAGCUGUUAUCCUGCUCCCUUUCAAGAUGAUGUCAGGCUAAUCAACACAGACUUUUGAACACAGUCUAAAUUCUCCUCAUCCAACCACUCUGCACAUGCAAAAAGAAAACAAUGAGCUCUGAGCCUUGGACUGGCUAUGCCCAUUCAGGAUCACUUAGUACACCAGUCAUCAGCAUCAGAAAAGGAGAAAAAAUGUUCAGAAACUCACCCCUGU
This 324-nucleotide long non-coding RNA is filed under the name Chloebia gouldiae (Gouldian finch). Its description in RNAcentral is "Erythrura gouldiae (Gouldian finch) lncRNA (ENSEGOG00005005254.1)". The record is from RNAcentral. Lineage: Eukaryota; Metazoa; Chordata; Aves; Passeriformes; Passeridae.